RNAcentral lists this ribosomal RNA (253 nucleotides) under uncultured bacterium. RNAcentral's name for it is "partial 16S ribosomal RNA". It matches the Rfam family "Bacterial small subunit ribosomal RNA", at positions 524 to 776 of the family's 1533-position model. The record is from RNAcentral.
UACAGAGGGUGCAAGCGUUGUUCGGAAUUACUGGGCGUAAAGCGUUUGUAGGCGGUGCUGAGAGUCCUAGGUGAAAUCCCCGAGCUCAACUCGGGAACUGCCUAGGAGACCUCAGUACUAGAGUACUGAAGGGGUUACUGGAAUUCCAUGUGUAGCGGUGAAAUGCGUAGAUAUAUGGAGGAACACCUGUGGCGAAGGCGGGUAACUGGUCAGAGACUGACGCUGAGAAACGAAAGCGUGGGGAGCAAACAGG